CGUCCGGAACGGGCGCUAAUACCGCAUACGUCCUGAGGGAGAAAGUGGGGGAUCUUCGGACCUCACGCUAUCAGAUGAGCCUAGGUCGGAUUAGCUAGUUGGUGGGGUAAAGGCCUACCAAGGCGACGAUCCGUAACUGGUCUGAGAGGAUGAUCAGUCACACUGGAACUGAGACACGGUCCAGACUCCUACGGGAGGCAGCAGUGGGGAAUAUUGGACAAUGGGCGAAAGCCUGAUCCAGCCAUGCCGCGUGUGUGAAGAAGGUCUUCGGAUUGUAAAGCACUUUAAGUUGGGAGGAAGGGCAGUAAGUUAAUACCUUGCUGUUUUGACGUUACCAACAGAAUAAGCACCGGCUAACUUCGUGCCAGCAGCCGCGGUAAUACGAAGGGUGCAAGCGUUAAUCGGAAUUACUGGGCGUAAAGCGCGCGUAGGUGGUUCAGCAAGUUGGAUGUGAAAUCCCCGGGCUCAACCUGGGAACUGCAUCCAAAACUACUGAGCUAGAGUACGGUAGAGGGUGGUGGAAUUUCCUGUGUAGCGGUGAAAUGCGUAGAUAUA
This 555-nucleotide ribosomal RNA is filed under the name Pseudomonas aeruginosa. Its description in RNAcentral is "bacterial SSU rRNA". It matches the Rfam family "Bacterial small subunit ribosomal RNA", at positions 147 to 698 of the family's 1533-position model. Lineage: Bacteria; Pseudomonadati; Pseudomonadota; Gammaproteobacteria; Pseudomonadales; Pseudomonadaceae. The record is from RNAcentral.